GAUGAACGCUGGCGGCGUGCCUAAUACAUGCAAGUCGAACGGGGAGUCGCAAUACUCUUAGUGGCGAACGGGUGAGUAACGCGUUGGUACCUGCCCCGAAGCGGGGGAUAACGGACCGAAAGGUCCGCUAAUACCCCAUGUGCUCGGUAACGAGUAAAGGUGAAAACCACUUUGGGAGGGGCCUGCGUCCCAUCAGCUAGUUGGUAAGGUAACGGCUUACCAAGGCGAUGACGGGUAGGGGACCUGAGAGGGUGGCCCCCCACAAUGGAACUGAAACACGGUCCAUACACCUACGGGUGGCAGCAGUAGGGAAUAUUGGUAAUGGGCGCAAGCCUGAACCAGCAGCGCCGCGUGUGAGAUGACGGCCUUCGGGUUGUAAAGCACUUUUGAAUGGGACGAGGAAGGACGGUACCGGUCGAAUCAGCCUCGGCUAACUACGUG
Molecule: ribosomal RNA, 441 nt
Filed under: uncultured bacterium
Lineage: Bacteria
Description: partial 16S ribosomal RNA
Rfam family: Bacterial small subunit ribosomal RNA
Source: RNAcentral